UCAACAUCCAGUAUCUGUAUGAGAGCCACGAAACUAACCCUCAGGUCUACCCUCAUAGUACUGACUUAGGCACAGGUGUGGCCUGCUUAUGCCCAAAUUCCCCCCAGCCAAGAGAGAGACCAAAGAGCCUGUGGAAUGCCUCUGCUCCCAGCCUCUAUCUUCAGGUCAAUAAAAAGAAGAGUAGAGAGAGCCCAGAGUCCCCAGGUCUGGGAAGGGUCAGGAGGGGUCAAGAAAGGAGUUGUAAGGAGGCUGAAGGUUACAGGGCAUUUGAAUCCAAAUCACUGCUCUGGGCUAGGGAAUAGAGCCAGCAGACCAAGGUGGAAGGGAUUCUGGAAGGGGGACAUUUUAGUCCCCCAACCCCAAAGCUCAGGGUGGAAGGGGGUAGAACAAAGGAGCAGAGUGUCUAUAAUUAUUUUUAUCUUUUAUUUUUGGAAUCUAGCAGUACCUGGCAGCAGGGAGGGGACAAUACAAGUGGGGAAAAGCACCUGACAAGGCCAGUUAGGGCAGAGGUUGGGAAGGAUGGAGACUCCCUGGUUUGGAAAGCUAGGAAGCAGGCAGGGACUGGUUGCCACUCCAGGUCACUAGCUGGGCCUAUUCAUUCCUCCCACAAUCCUGACCCACCCUCCUCUGGACUCACUGUGCCUCAGUUUCUUCCCCUCGAUGGAAUGAGAAAUAGCAGCACCCGCCACAGCCAAGAGAUGAAUUCUGAGCACUUACCACGGGCACUUUAUGGACAUAAAAUACCUCUCGCUGUGGGACAGAUAACCAGGGCACCAGAGUAGUGGUGAAGAGAUGUGAGGCUUAGAGGAGUCACAGGCUUCAGAGUACACGUUCCCCUCUGCCUCCCAGCUGGACAGUGCCUGAAGACAAGGAGCUGAGAACCUCCGGAUCCACACCCUAUCCGUACCUCACCUCCAGACCUCUUGGCUCCAGGCAAGAGCCUAGAGCAUGUCAGGAGAGGAGGGAGAAAGAACCUUCAGCAAAAUAGUCACUCUAAGUAAAGCCAGCAGUUGUGGGUCUGAUGCAAACAGUACUGAACUAAAGUAAGCCCAAGCUGGAGAGCUGACCUGGAAGGCUUGUUCUUCCCAAGAGCAUGACUUUCCUGCCUGGCCCAGCUGGUGGAAGGGGCAAAGAAAAGAGGGGGCUUUUUUUUUAUUCCAUUCACAGAGGAGGUUAAAGUUAUAUUAAAAAGAAAAGCCGAGUGGGACUUCGCUGGCGGUCCAGUGGUUAAGACUCUGCGUUUCCAAUGCAGUGGGUGCGGGUUUGAUCCCUGGUCGGGGAAACUAAGAUCCCACAUGCCGCAUUGUGCACGGCCAAAAAAAAAAGAAAAGAAAAGAAAAGCUGAGUGCAUACAAGCCAAGCUCACUUCCACCUGGAUUACUGACACAAUUCUUUGGAAUCAAAUGAAAGUCAUCUGGUUCAUAUAAACUCCAUCAGCCUCAAAAGUUACUACUCCCUUACAUAUACUACAUAUACUACCUCUCCCAAUAAAAGCCACUAUUCCUUUCUA
Long non-coding RNA from Lagenorhynchus albirostris (white-beaked dolphin), 1510 nucleotides. RefSeq lists it as uncharacterized. NCBI's taxonomy places the organism in Eukaryota, Metazoa, Chordata, Mammalia, Artiodactyla, Delphinidae. The transcript has 2 exons. The record is from RefSeq and is a predicted model, not a curated record.